AAUACGGAGGGGGCGAGCGUUAUUCGGAAUCAUUGGGCGUAAAGGGCGCGUAGGCGGCCCCGUAAGUCUUGGGUGAAAGCCCUCGGCUCAACCGAGGAAUUGCCUUGGAUACUGCGGGGCUCGAGGCUGGAAGAGGGCAGUGGAAUUCCCGGUGUAGCGGUGAAAUGCGUAGAUAUCAGGAGGAACACCCAUGGCGAAGGCAGUUCACUGGCAGUCAUCUGACGCUGAGGCGCGAAAGCGUGGGUAGCAAACAGGA
This 256-nucleotide ribosomal RNA is filed under the name uncultured prokaryote. RNAcentral describes it as "partial 16S ribosomal RNA". It matches the Rfam family "Bacterial small subunit ribosomal RNA", at positions 522 to 777 of the family's 1533-position model. The record is from RNAcentral.